CCCUUAGAUGUCCGGGGUCGCACGCGCGCUACACUGAAGGAAUCAGCGUGGCUUUCUCCCUGACCCGAAAGGGUUGGGAAACCCGUUGAAUCUCCUUCGUGAUAGGGAUUGGGGCUUGAAAUUGUUCCCCAUGAACGAGGAAUUCCCAGUAAGCGCGAGUCAUAAGCUCGCGUUGAUUACGUCCCUGCCCUUUGUACACACCGCCCGUCGCUCCUACCGAUUGGGUGUGCUGGUGAAAUGUUCGGAUCGGCCGUUUGUCGCGGUUUCCGCGGCUCGUGGCUGAGAAGUUCAUUAAACCCUCCCACCUAGAGGAAGGAGAAGUCGUAACA
Molecule: ribosomal RNA, 329 nt
Filed under: uncultured eukaryote
Lineage: Eukaryota
Description: partial 18S ribosomal RNA
Rfam family: Eukaryotic small subunit ribosomal RNA
Source: RNAcentral